RNAcentral lists this ribosomal RNA (274 nucleotides) under uncultured bacterium. Its description in RNAcentral is "partial 16S ribosomal RNA". It matches the Rfam family "Bacterial small subunit ribosomal RNA", at positions 523 to 796 of the family's 1533-position model. The record is from RNAcentral.
CUACGGAGGGUGCAAGCGUUAAUCGGAAUUACUGGGCGUAAAGCGCGCGUAGGCGGUUAUUUAAGUCAGAUGUGAAAUCCCUGGGCUCAACCUAGGAACUGCAUCUGAUACUGGGUAACUAGAGUUUUGGAGAGGUAAGUGGAAUUUCCGGUGUAGCGGUGAAAUGCAUAGAGAUCGGAAGGAACACCAGUGGCGAAGGCGACUUACUGGCCAAAAACUGACGCUGAGGUGCGAAAGCGUGGGUAGCAAACAGGAUGAGAUACCCUAGUAGUCC